Mus musculus (house mouse) is the source of this 534-nucleotide long non-coding RNA. RefSeq annotates it as predicted gene, 51686. Lineage: Eukaryota; Metazoa; Chordata; Mammalia; Rodentia; Muridae. The record is from RefSeq and is a predicted model, not a curated record. The transcript has 4 exons.
AGCAGAAAGAGCACGGCCAAUCCUCCUGGCAACACAGCAUGGCGAGGAUGGAAGCUUGGAGUGUCUGGAAACAGAAACUGUAGCUAAAGACUUCCAAGAGGAGCAACGUGGCGCGCAACUGUUGAGCCUUGAUAUUUCGAGGGACAGCGAAUGUUCCAUUUGUUCCUGACACAGACCUGUUGCUAAGUGUCCGUUGAGGUUUCCCACUGGAGGACAGUAGAAGCAAAGCAUAUUGACCACUACCUGCCUGAUGAGCCUUGACCCAAUUGGAGAAGUCCAUGGUGCUGUUGGGAGUCAUCCCUGAAACUUGUCAACAAAGCAGACAGAGGUUGCAGAUCUAGUGCAGAACCAUGAAGGCAGCUUAAGAUGGAUGCGACUAUUGGGAAGAAGUACGGAGGCAGCUCUUUUUCCAACUCCUUUGCCCGUGCCAGUGCCACUACCCGUUCUCAGUGUGACUGUGGUCUCGAAAAAUGAAUUUGGCAGUUGUAGUCUCCCCUCCCCCAGCCUGAAACCUGCUUGCUCGGGGUGGAGCUU